RNAcentral lists this long non-coding RNA (390 nucleotides) under Citrus sinensis (sweet orange). RNAcentral describes it as "long non-coding RNA (CSIN_LNC005384)". Lineage: Eukaryota; Viridiplantae; Streptophyta; Magnoliopsida; Sapindales; Rutaceae. The record is from RNAcentral.
UCAAAUGGUUGGAUCUAAUUUAGUCUAUUCGGUUAAUUUUGCUUUACAUUCCGGUGGUUUGAUCCAAUUCCAACGUCCCAUGGCCGUAACGUUCACUUGACUUACGUGGCUUUGUAGGAAUCAUCAUCUUCUCUAUUUAUACGAGAAGAGUGAAGGUAAUUAUCUGGAUCUGGUAGGGGUUUUCUGGGAAUAUGAAGAAAGUUGGGGACACGUGGGAUGUAGCUUUGUUUAAGUUUAAAUUCUGACGUAAGAGAUAUUAUUCGGUGAGCCACAGACUUAUUAAGGUUUAUACUGUUUGUUCGGCGUUGGUUUGAAAUUGAAUCUUGAGUCAAAGGCGUGAGAGUUAUAGACCAACGAGAUUCUGCCAUUGAAGCAUCUAGAAAAAUUUCC